UACGUAGGGUGCAAGCGUUAAUCGGAAUUACUGGGCGUAAAGCGUGCGCAGGCGGUGAUGUAAGACAGAUGUGAAAUCCCCGGGCUCAACCUGGGAACUGCAUUUGUGACUGCAUCGCUGGAGUAUGGCAGAGGGGGAUGGAAUUCCGCGUGUAGCAGUGAAAUGCGUAGAUAUGCGGAGGAACACCGAUGGCGAAGGCAAUCCCCUGGGCCUGUACUGACGCUCAUGCACGAAAGCGUGGGGAGCAAACAGG
Molecule: ribosomal RNA, 253 nt
Filed under: uncultured bacterium
Lineage: Bacteria
Description: partial 16S ribosomal RNA
Rfam family: Bacterial small subunit ribosomal RNA
Source: RNAcentral